Molecule: ribosomal RNA, 233 nt
Filed under: uncultured bacterium
Lineage: Bacteria
Description: partial 16S ribosomal RNA
Rfam family: Bacterial small subunit ribosomal RNA
Source: RNAcentral
UGAGUAACCUGCCCUUCACUCUGGGAUAACUCCGGGAAACCGGGGCUAAUACUGGAUAUGACUCGAACAGGCAUUUGUUUCGGGUGGAAAGAUUUAUUGGUGGAGGAUGGACUCGCGGCCUAUCAGCUUGUUGGUGAGGUAAUGGCUCACCAAGGCGACGACGGGUAGCCGGCCUGAGAGGGCGAUCGGCCACACUGGGACUGAGACACGGCCCAGACCUCCGUACGGGAGCA